Hypoxylon sp. CI-4A is the source of this 114-nucleotide non-coding RNA. The record is from the annotation of a GenBank genome assembly. Lineage: Eukaryota; Fungi; Ascomycota; Sordariomycetes; Xylariales; Hypoxylaceae.
GGCAACGUGCCGGAGUGGUUAACGGGUCAGACUUGAAUGGCCGUAGCAUCUUGGCAUCUGCGGAUCAGUUAUCUGAUGCUUUCGAGCGCACAGGUUCGAAUCCUGUCGUUGUCG